RNAcentral lists this ribosomal RNA (497 nucleotides) under uncultured bacterium. RNAcentral describes it as "partial 16S ribosomal RNA". It matches the Rfam family "Bacterial small subunit ribosomal RNA", at positions 28 to 507 of the family's 1533-position model. The record is from RNAcentral.
GAUGAACGCUGGCGGCGUGCCUAAUACAUGCAAGUCGAGCGAACGGACGAGAAGCUUGCUUCUCUGAUGUUAGCGGCGGACGGGUGAGUAACACGUGGAUAACCUACCUAUAAGACUGGGAUAACUUCGGGAAACCGGAGCUAAUACCGGAUAAUAUUUUGAACCACAUGGUUCAAAAGUGAAAGACGGUCUUGCUGUCACUUAUAGAUGGAUCCGCGCUGCAUUAGCUAGUUGGUAAGGUAACGGCUUACCAAGGCAACGAUGCAUAGCCGACCUGAGGGGGUGAUCGGCCACACUGGAACUGAGACACGGUCCAGACUCCUACGGGAGGCAGCAGUAGGGAAUCUUCCGCAAUGGGCGAAAGCCUGACGGAGCAACGCCGCGUGAGUGAUGAAGGUCUUCGGAUCGUAAAACUCUGUUAUUAGGGAAGAACAUAUGUGUAAGUAACUGUGCACAUCUUGACGGUACCUAAUCAGAAAGCCACGGCUAACUACGUG